GGGGAAUAUUGGACAAUGGGGGCAACCCUGAUCCAGCAAUGCCGCGUGUGUGAAGAAGGUCUUCGGAUUGUAAAGCACUUUCGACGGGGACGAUGAUGACGGUACCCGUAGAAGAAGCCCCGGCUAACUUCGUGCCAGCAGCCGCGGUAAUACGAAGGGGGCUAGCGUUGCUCGGAAUGACUGGGCGUAAAGGGCGUGUAGGCGGUUUACACAGUCAGAUGUGAAAUCCCCGGGCUUAACCUGGGAGCUGCAUUUGAUACGUGUAGACUAGAGUGUGAGAGAGGGUUGUGGAAUUCCCAGUGUAGAGGUGAAAUUCGUAGAUAUUGGGAAGAACACCGGUGGCGAAGGCGGCAACCUGGCUCAUGACUGACGCUGAGGCGCGAAAGCGUGGGGAGCAAACAGGAUUAGAUACCCUGGUAGUCCACGCUGUAAACGAUGUGUGCUAGAUGUUGGGUAACUUUGUUAUUCAGUGUCGCAGUUAACGCGUUAAGCACACCGCCUGGGGAGUACGGCCGCAAGGUUGAA
RNAcentral lists this ribosomal RNA (525 nucleotides) under uncultured bacterium. RNAcentral's name for it is "partial 16S ribosomal RNA". It matches the Rfam family "Bacterial small subunit ribosomal RNA", at positions 356 to 898 of the family's 1533-position model. The record is from RNAcentral.